AACCGCGGUUAUACGAAAGGCCUAAGUUGAUAAAAUACGGCGUAAAGAGUGGUUAAGGAAAUAACCCACUAAAGUUAAAACUCCUCCUGGUCGUUUUAAACUUAUGAGAUUUGAGAGAAUCAUCCACGAAAGUGACUUUAAUAUCCUGAUGCCACGAAAGCUAGGGAA
Molecule: ribosomal RNA, 168 nt
Filed under: Cynoglossus macrolepidotus
Lineage: Eukaryota; Metazoa; Chordata; Actinopteri; Pleuronectiformes; Cynoglossidae
Also listed under: 1 other name
Description: partial small subunit ribosomal RNA
Source: RNAcentral